Molecule: long non-coding RNA, 7107 nt
Organism: Centrocercus urophasianus (Greater sage-grouse)
Lineage: Eukaryota; Metazoa; Chordata; Aves; Galliformes; Phasianidae
Exons: 3
Source: RefSeq, a predicted model, not a curated record
GGCAGUAUGGCACACAGAACCUUGUUUCAACUUAAAACAGAAGUCAUUUUUAGUGGUGAAAAUACCUCAGUGUGGCACUCCUUUCUGGGUUGAGACAUGGAGACGUCUGAGGAGGUAGCUAAGUCUGACAGUAGACUGGAAUAUUAGCUUCUUGAUUAGUAGUACCAAUCCAUUUCAUAAAGGUUACUCACCAGUUUGAAACCAAUUCAACAGAAUGUAAUACACAGGGAUAGCUUUUCUGCAGAUGCUUUGAUCUCUGAUAGCAUUUUCCAGUGAUUCAGCCAAGCGUUUUGAGACAAGGGGAAACUACGAUUAGGUCACCUAAUGGCUGUGGUUUUGCUUUUAGUGAAAAACUCUGCCUGAAAAAGAAUAAGAAAACAUCUCUGGAAGACAGCUUGAUGUGCUGUGGGACCUGGGACUCGGAAAUACCUUAAUUAAGCUGAAAUUGAUACUGUGUCACAAUGGGGUAGAGCUGUGGGACAUAAACAACCUGACCUCCGAGAAGAAUAUCGAGUGCAUCUUCGUGAUGCUUUGUCCGACUUCUUGUGAUAGUCACCAGAUCUCUCCAUCAUCACAGAACAAAUCUGCAGCUUCACAGACACAUCUUGAGUAAUCCCAACUUGAGCUGUCUGGGGAGAAAGGUGAAAUGCUUAUAGUUUGUUUAUGAUGUGAAGAGUUCUUGAGGUAUGUCAGAAGAAAAUUGUCCUAAUAGUUGUCUAUCGUUUUUUUUCCCCUUGAAUUGCUCAUUGAACACGCGUAGUGUGUUGUAUGCUUGGGUUUUUUUGGUUGGCUGUCAGCAGUAGUACUUUGAAAGCCAUCUUUAUUUUCAUAAUUAAAAGCUGCUUUUUCUUUUUUUCAGUGACACAGUUGAACAAACAAUUGGAUGGAUGGUUGCUCCUGCUGAAGGGCUCUCACAGGGGAGCAGGAAUGGCUCUCUGCAUUGGCUGCUGGGGCUUCCGCUCCCAGCCUUCCUUCAUCAGUCUGUCUUGAAUCAUUAUGAUUUGCAGAGCAUCAUUUGAAAGGAAUCUGAAAUAGGUUUUCACAUGUUGAUCACAUCUCUGAGAGCUUCAUAUGUCUCUGCAUCCGUUGAGUGUUUUUAAAAAACAGAGAAGCUCCACGGAUCUGUCACCCCAUCCUGAAAUAAGAGGCAGUCAAAAGCUGAUUAAGAGUGCAUCUCUUCUUGCUCCAACGUAAACCUGUGUGAGAGGGAGGCCAGGCUGACAGCCUGCAGGCUCUGUGCUCCGGGGCAGAGACACGGGUUGGUAUCAGGAUGAAGUUGCUCAAGCUUUGGUGAAGUUGCUCAAGUUCUGACCCAGAUACCAGCUGUCCACGACAGUUCCUGACCUGUGGAGCUCUCGAAGGAGGAGCACGGGGCAGACAUUAGGAGGUAGGUGCAGCACCUCUCCAUUUUGUACGUGAGGUUUUUGAGCAACACACUUGCCAAAGGUUUUGUGAAGAAUCUGCAGAACUAGGAAUUCAGUAGCCCUUGCCCAUCUCUCACGCUGGUGCCAGAGGCAGACAGGUAGUUUGCUAAAUGCUUCAGCCCAACUCCUCGAAAUUAUGCCUGCAUUCUCACUGAAACCAGCAAGUUCUUCAGUUUAGAAUGCAUUUAUUUUUAAACUGUAGAGGCAGAGCCUACAUGUUUGGACAAACUAGCGCCAGAGCAUUGAGUGCCUUGUAGAUUCUUAGCCCUAACUGACUGCUCGCUGAAAGCACCGCCUCAGCCUCCUGUAGCCUCCCUGACAGAGUGCAUAGUGCCUUUUUUCAGCCUGACCUUGCCCUUUUUAGCUUAAAUCAAUAGCAAAGACAAAGAUAGAGUGCAAAGGGAAAGAAUUCAGAAUGAACAGUGCUCACUAAAUAGACAAUCCACAUGUGAAAUGUAGGAUUUUAAAUGCAAAUGCCUUCAUCUUGUCUUAUCAGAGCCAAUUGGUUUAGCCUCUGUGCUACACAGGUUGAAUCUAAAUGUUGCAUGGAUAACUCUGAGCUGACACCAGUAUUUAUGCAGGACAGCUGAUGAUGCAAUGUUGUAGUUGGCUUCAAGGAAAGGUCUUACCCCAGGCAGAAUGGAGUCCAUCUCCACCAAGGUUUUACUUUCUCAUCAUUAUUUCUCUCCUGUAUGAAGUGUAGACAUUAAGCACUGAGCUUGGCACCACAGCACAGUGGAGCAGGAAGUCAUGGGGAUUUCCCUGAUAGCCCCAAGGUCACAGUAAUGAACAUGCAGCAACUUGGGAAAAAAGCAGCACACAGGAGAAUGCCAGAAGGUCCUGUCACCUGGCUGACCUGCAACCUGGUUUGUAAGGUAAGGGAUGAGAAUGUCCUGUUAACAACAUGCUUCAAUCCCCCUUCUUACAAUGAAGUUGAGCAAAGCAUUGGUUUUUCUGGGAGGUCUAGUAGGUAGAAAGCAUUCCAGUUUCCACAGGUUGACUUUGCUUAGUGGAAGAAUAUGUGACUACCCAAAGGAGCUUUCUCCUUACCCUAGAGAAUGCAUUUCUUCCCUCUUCUGUCAUAUCAGCAACCUUGCUCUUUCACCCUCCAGAGAACUGUUUUGUCUUUGCUUUCAGUAGGGUUAGUUUUCAGGCAAGUAAGUAGGCUGGUUUGACCCUGUAAAACUCCAUUCCCAAAGCGUGGGAGUGAUGGAGACAACAAAAGCAAGGGAACAGGAGUUGUAGGGCAGACCCACCUCUUUUUGGUGUAAUUCGGUUUUAGCUUUGAGUUUUAGCAGUUGUGAAAGCUCAUGAAAAGCAGCCUUUUCUGCUUGGGAUGAAUGAAAGCCUCACAGGUGUAAGCAUGGGGAUUUAAUUGCAGCAUUCACCCAGCCCAGUUCUUCUCUUCCAGUCUGACAUGUGGCUGCCUCAUGUGAUGUCUCUUGGCAUUGCAGAGAUAUAGCAUCACCCACGGCUCUUGCAGCAGCAGCUGUUUCUUUGAGCCUGUCAGCCUCCUCCAGUGGCUGGAGUAGCAGUGAAUUUCUGCAGAUGCACAGUACUGCAUCGCCACAGUCCCAGUGAAGCCACCGAGUUUCAUAGAAGUCUAUGAAUGAGAGCAGCUAUCCAGUCAAGAAGGUAUUCUCUACAUUGCAGGUUAAAUGGCCAUCUUUCCUUCCAGAGGUGUGUGUAUAGAAGACGUUCCUGGUUUUUAUGACAGUGCUAUGAAGAAUGUCGGUCGUUCUGAGUUGUCCUUUGCACUGCAUCACUGUUCUGUGCUUUGGAAGUGGUUGUAGGGCUGGCUCAAGCUCUGUCGGCUGUGCCUGGGGUUAAAGCAGGUGCUUUGGCCCUCAGAACCCAGCCUGGCAAGAUGGGGGCAGAUAGGCAGGAUUUCCCCUCUGUUGUUCCCUUUGGGUUCCAGAACUUCCAAACAAGACUAGGAGAGGGGAAGGGAGACCGAGGAUAUCUGAGCAUCUUCUCAGGCCAGUUACACACACGACAAUUACCUCAGUGUAAACAACCCAUCGUACCGGGAUGGGGAGAGCCUUUUGAGCCUGAGGAGGGUGCUUUGAAGUGCCUCUGCUCAGGGAGUGUCUGUUAAUGCAGGGAAUUGCACCGGCCGCAGCCCUGGGCUGCGCUGAACGGAAUUGGGCUGCGGUGCCUAUUGAGCUGGAUGGGAUGGCUGUUAGGUGCCCUCGGUAUGACAAAGCGGUCGUUAACAUUCCACCAACUAUGGGGCAGUAACCAGUAGCAACGCUUGCCUGUCUCGGCCAGCCCAGCUUGCUGCCGCUAGCGGUACCGUAAGGGGAUUUGUCUCUUGUACCUGCUGAAAUUCCACUUUCCUAGCGGUAUCUGCACGAUUUCUCGCAUGUUCUGUGGAAGAAUCCUAGCAAGGCACACCGAGGUUAAUAUAAAUGUAUCUAUCUCUCAGCAGGGAGGAAGAUUAUGUCAAUUUAGGCUAAUAGCUGCCAAAUGAUAGACACACAGAUGCUGUUAAAUUGGUUUAAUUCCCGUUGGCCGGCCCUGACAAUUGGGAGCAAAGAUAAAUAUACACAAAGCAUUCAAAGCUCGGGGUGUUAUGAUGCUAAUUGAAAAGUCACCAAAGGAAGCCCUCACGGUCUGUGGGAACCUCGGUGCACAGGAUUAGCGGCUAAUUAGUGGCUAGGAGCUAUUUCACCCCGAGCACAGGCACCUCUGCCCGUGCAAUCAGUUCUUGCCCUUGAUACCAGCAAUAAAGAAACUGCUGUGGGCAGCAGGCAGUGUGAUGGUAGGAAGAUAACAUAGUGUUAGCAGUGUAACGAGCUCUCCCAUAAUGCACAGAAGCAAUGUCAAAGAUGCUUGCUGUGUCUUGAGCCACAGCAAACAUAAAGGCAUUUGAGGCCUGAGCUCUUUUUCCCCUCGCUUUUUAACACAUGCACAAGUUUAUGUGACUUUUUACCUCUUUCAUGUCAUGUUUGCAGCAGAUGAGGGAACACGCUCUGCAGACCCUGAGCCUCAACCUCUACUUUGGACUCUGCAGUGAGUGCGCACUCGCACGGUGCUUUAGAAUCAUGACAUUUAAAAAAUAUAUAAUCUGUCAGCAUCCCGGUAUUUCCCUCUCAAUUUGUUCCUUGGUGUACAACUGAAGAAUCAAAGAGUUCUUCAAAUAAUGUGCCUGUGUUAUGUGAACCCAAGGGCUCGGCCUGUGGAAAAAGAAAGAUUUGCAAAAUGGUACAAAUCAGUGCAUCACUGCCAGCACUGAACUAAUCAGGGCUUUGUUUAAUGAGGGGUGCAUCUAUUUUGCUCAGUUAUUUCCCGCUGGUGAGAAUCCUUCAUUUAUACUUUCAUUUGGGAAUGCUGGUUUUGGAACUCUCUGGAAGGGCAUGUUUCCUUGUCCUCACAUUUACUUUUUCAAAUCUGAAACAACAGUUUAAAGCUGUGUUUACAGUUACACACCCUCUCAAUUAAAUCAACCAGUAUUGCACUUCACAAAGACACCAAGCAGCAAUGGCAGGAAGGUUCACUUGUAAGCUUUAGAGGAGCUAGAAAGCUUUUUUUCCUGUGUUGCCAGCUCUGACUAAUGCUGUUCUGCACAAGCUGAAGUCAGAAGCAGGUAAUGUGAAGAACCCGUGCUGGUAGGCAUUGACCUGCAGCGCAUGGGCUGGUGGCUUAAGUCUGCUCUUCUGGCAAUCAGCAGAUGGGCGCUUGUAGCCUGGUUUCCUUAAUCCUCUGGUUGACCAGCCCUCCAGACAGCUAACUCUCUUCUCCAGCUGCUGAGAAAAAGCUAAAUCAUGGAAUCAUUUAGGUUGGAAGGGACCACUGCGAUCAUCCAGUCCAACUGCCAGCCCAUCCCCCCAUGCCUGCUGACCACGUGCUUCAGUGCCACAUCUCCAUGGUUCUUCAACACUUUCAGGGACAGUGACUCCACCACCUCCCUGGGCAGCCACUGUCUCACCACUCUUUCUGAGAAGAAAUUUGUCUUUAUAUCCAAUCUGGACCCCUACUCCCCAGUACAACUUAAGGCCAUUACCUCUUGUCCUGUCACUAUUACAUGGGAUCCCUAGCAGCUAUGUUGUAGAACUGGUGAUCUGGGAAGAGGAUUGUGAAAAGCGAACAGACUUGUAGGCACAGAAGUUCUUCUAUAGGUCUGAAAGAAACCUCAGAUUUCAAGCUAUUUUGCCCCCUCACAAAAUCCUUAGGGAAAAGAGAGACAACAGCCCCAGGCAGCCACCUCUGCUGUGGAUAAGCUGCCUGGCUUGCAGGGCAGCCCAGAGAACCCAGCUGCUCUAGGAGUCCUAAUAGCCUUUGUGGAGCAACAGAUUGCUGAAAUCAUGCUCAUCGUUCAGUACGUUUGUCAAAAUAGAAAUGAGAUACACAGGAAUAACAUUUUUUGGCCAAGGUAUUUCUAACUGAUUCUAGGUGGGUAUUAGUAAUAAUACAGCUGUCAGCUUUCACACAGUGUUUUUUAAGCAGCAGUGCGUUGUAUCUUUUAAGGUAUCUUCCCUUUUAUUUUAAGCAAAAUACCUUUGGGAACCAUUAGUAAUGGUUUCAGGCACUGCUGGACAGUAGUAGCGUGAAGAUACAGAGUGCAGCAACCCAUACAGCGUAGGAAGCCAGUGACAGGGCUGCAGGCUGGAAAGGCACUCUGUGCCAGAGCCUGGCAAGAAGCAACGAGCAGAUCAGACAGCUGCUUACCUGCUGUGAGUUGAAAAGAAGGAGAAUCCCAAGUCAAGAAAAGGAGAGAACCAUAGAGAAGAAACUGCAGAGGAGUUCCUAAUUUCUAUAGGAAUCUGUGCAUGACACACUGGGUCUGCAGGAGCCCAGAGCUCAACUCAGCGCCUUGAAACCCAGUACCACAGCUGUAACUCUCAGGAUCUCUUCUGAGCAAAUCUCGUGCCAUUUAGGGAAGGUGCUGGGCUGAGCUGAAGCUGUGCAAAUGCAGCUGUUCUCAUAUCAGCUAAGAAAAAAUAAAAAUCAGUUUAAAGCAUUAGCCUGUUCCAAAAAAACAGUGCUAAACUUCAUUCCAGAGCUGCUGUUAAGUUGAAAAAUAUAUAAGUGCAUCUUCAAAUAAAGUGUAAAAAACCAUUUGCUUUUCUAGUGGUCUAAUGACUGCUUUUGCCAGGUUACUUCCAAAGUAGAAUUCACCUACAGUCUGAGGCAACGCCUGGGAGAUCCGAGCAUUCUGGUAUAACUGGGAUAAAGUUGAGCUGAGAGACAGGUCAGAAUCAGGUGUACCAUGGAGGUACUGCGGCCUUUUUGGGGGAAGAUUGCCAUCUUGCUGGGAAGAUCAUGUUUCUGUUAUUACCAGUAACAACUGGUUUCUACCAUUUACUCUCCCCUCUUUCUUUGUCAGGUAGGCCCUGACAGCUGAGGGUCUCAACGCACCAUGCAGGUGAAGCUGUCACAUUACGGGCUCAGAAACGCCGUCAGGUAGUAUCAGGUGUUUUGUACUUGACAAGCAAGCCAUUGUGUGACUGUAGAAGCCACAUCCUUCUUCCUGGUCUCUGUAGUUCCACCUGCAGAGUUAGAGUAGUGUGUCCCAUCUUCUCAGCCAGACGAGACACGGACAGUAAGUACUACUAGUUACUUGCACAUUACUGAUCUGUUUUUAUUUAUCCACACAGUCUUUCAUUGUAACCUUUAUUUCACAAAGAUGACAAAGCAUUUUUUUUCAUUUUCAAUAAAAAUGAUGUAUUUUUUACUUAUA